CACCGGGGGGUUAGCGUUAGUACGGCGAGUGAAGCGGCAAAAGCUCAAAUUUGAAAUCUGGUACCUUCGGUGCCCGAGUUGUAAUUUGGAGAGGGCAACUUUGGGGCCGUUCCUUGUCUAUGUUCCUUGGAACAGGACGUCAUAGAGGGUGAGAAUCCCGUGUGGCGAGGAGUGCGGUUCUUUGUAAAGUGCCUUCGAAGAGUCGAGUUGUUUGGGAAUGCAGCUCUAAGUGGGUGGUAAAUUCCAUCUAAAGCUAAAUAUUGGCGAGAGACCGAUAGCGAACAAGUACAGUGAUGGAAAGAUGAAAAGAACUUUGAAAAGAGAGUGAAAAAGUACGUGAAAUUGUUGAAAGGGAAGGGCAUUUGAUCAGACAUGGUGUUUUGUGCCCUCUGCUCCUUGUGGGUAGGGGAAUCUCGCAUUUCACUGGGCCAGCAUCAGUUUUGGUGGCAGGAUAAAUCCAUAGGAAUGUAGCUUGCCUCGGUAAGUAUUAUAGCCUGUGGGAAUACUGCCAGCUGGGACUGAGGACUGCGACGUAAGUCAAGGAUGCUGGCAUAAUGGUUAUAUGCCGCCCGCUGAAAAAAAAAAAAAAA
Molecule: ribosomal RNA, 590 nt
Filed under: Saccharomyces cerevisiae (brewer's yeast)
Lineage: Eukaryota; Fungi; Ascomycota; Saccharomycetes; Saccharomycetales; Saccharomycetaceae
Description: partial 26S ribosomal RNA
Rfam family: Eukaryotic large subunit ribosomal RNA
Source: RNAcentral